CCACUAACUCGCUGGAACCCAGCGGCGAGAAACCAGAAGCCCGCCGCUCAUCCACCAGUUCGUCACCACCACACCCCUAACCAACAAGUUGUUGCUGCUUCUUCAUUUCCUGCUGCAACACCAACCAAAAACACCUCUCUGUCCUUCGUCUUCCAGCAGCGAACAAGAACCAGGGGACCUUCAGACGUUGCCCUCAUCUGAUUUUGCUUCUUCUCUAUUUUUGAAUACACACACAUACAAACAGAGAUGGGGAAUUUCAGUCCGAAAAAAAUCAAGUGAACCAUAGUGCGAACAGAUCUGACGAGCCAAAAACAGGGUCAAAACCAUUCUGAUUUCAAGCGAGGUUCAGUUGUUGAAGUUCCGGUGGCGAUUUGGUCUGUGUUCGGGUAUAUUUUUUUUAGUUCUAUUCAUUCCAAAUGCUGUAAUCAUCAUUGGGAGAUCUAUUAGGUUGAAAUGUGUAAUAAUUUUUCUUUUGUUUCUCUAAAAAUUUCAUUACUCAGUUUCUUCUUUCUCUAUUUUAUUUCGCUGCUUGCAUGAUGAUUCGAUGCCUCAGUUUUGGCUACUGUUCAGUUUUGCGAUGUUACUCUCGUGGUUUUGAAUGGAAUAUUAGAUUGAUGGUUUGCUCGUUGAUUUUAAGUGGAAUUCCUCUGUUUGUCC
Molecule: long non-coding RNA, 657 nt
Filed under: Nicotiana benthamiana
Lineage: Eukaryota; Viridiplantae; Streptophyta; Magnoliopsida; Solanales; Solanaceae
Description: long non-coding RNA (NBEN_LNC040054)
Source: RNAcentral